GUGUGAGGAUCGGACGUUAAUUUGAAUUGAGUUAAAAUAUUUUUAAGAGUUACUUCUAUAUUAUUUUUAAUACUGUAAUAUCUAAAUCAUUGAUCAAAGAAGUUAAACAGGAUCUAUACUAUUUAAACUAUCUGAAAAUUAAAUUUUAUAAUUUUAGAUAUCUUUUAUCCUUCAUUUAAGUAGUUUCAAAAUUAACAAUUUUUUCAACGGUGUAUAUGCAAUGCAAUUGAGACUAAUCGGUUAUUAAAUAGAUACUAUGGAAAAGAUCGCUAUAUUUAGUUUUUAAAAAAGUUUAUAUGUUACAAAAUAUAUUGAACGA
Molecule: long non-coding RNA, 319 nt
Filed under: Ananas comosus (pineapple)
Lineage: Eukaryota; Viridiplantae; Streptophyta; Magnoliopsida; Poales; Bromeliaceae
Description: long non-coding RNA (ACOM_LNC030804)
Source: RNAcentral